CCGUUCACACGAUUACGUGUUAGUUGCGUGGGCCCUAGCCGCGCCCCCGGGUGUGUGGUCACUGGUCAGCCUUUAUAAAGCCGACAGAGGUGCGCAGAAGUCAGGUGUAACUUGUAAGCAGCGUCUGAGACACAUACACACAACGAUCGCCAACUAUUAAGUUAAAAAAGCAGAGUCAAAUAUGACCAAACCCAAGGACAUUGGGGAGUGUCCCCUCUGUGGGAAGAUCAUCCACACUGUCGUGAGGCACCUCAGGGAGGUCCAUUUGCUAAAGAACACGCAGGAGAGACUGAUCCUCAACCACCUGGCGACAGGCAGGACUUUGAUCCCCGCCGGACCCUGCCCCCUUCCCCUUCCCGGGUGUUCUUCACAUCUGUUAAACCUGGAGAAGCAUCUGCAGUCGCAGCACAGCAACCUGAGUGGCCAAAGUGUGGAUCGGGAGAUCAAGGCCCUCAAGCGAGUUGCAGCUCUUAGCAAGCUGGCGGCCUUGAGGGCCACUUCUCCCGAUCCACCUAUGGUCAGCGUGCUGGACCUGGAACAGCACCAGGCGGAGCAGACUGACCCGGAGGCGGGAGUGAUCAUGUGCCAGAAGCGCACAUGCGUCAAUGCCCGCCUCCGGGUCCGCGAGCUGGAGCGAGAGGUAGCAGACGUUCGUGCCAGUCUGACCCAGUUCCAGGCCCUGGCCUGGCCUCAGCGCCGACCUCGACGUGAGUGAAUGAAAAAAACAUAGCAAUUAUACCUUAAUUGCUAUGUUAAUUGCUAUGAAAACAGUCCUGUUUUCUCUUGCUGUUUGUUUUUUCCUCUCCGCAGAGGCAGCCCCAGCCCCAUCCCGAGCCCCAGCCCCAGCCCCAGCCCCGGAGGAGGAGGAGGAGGAGGAGGAGGAGG
Molecule: long non-coding RNA, 885 nt
Organism: Gadus morhua (Atlantic cod)
Lineage: Eukaryota; Metazoa; Chordata; Actinopteri; Gadiformes; Gadidae
Source: Ensembl